Molecule: ribosomal RNA, 505 nt
Filed under: uncultured bacterium
Lineage: Bacteria
Description: bacterial SSU rRNA
Rfam family: Bacterial small subunit ribosomal RNA
Source: RNAcentral
AUCCUGGCUCAGGAUGAACGCUAGCUACAGGCUUAACACAUGCAAGUCGAGGGGAAACGAUAUUGGAAGCUUGCUUCUGAUAGGCGUCGACCGGCGCACGGGUGAGUAACGCGUAUCCAACCUGCCCAUCACUUGGGGAUAACCUUGCGAAAGUAAGACUAAUACCCAAUGACGUCUCUAGAAGACAUCUGAAAGAGAUUAAAGAUUUUAUCGGUGAUGGAUGGGGAUGCGUCUGAUUAGCUUGUUGGCGGGGUAACGGCCCACCAAGGCGACGAUCAGUAGGGGUUCUGAGAGGAAGGUCCCCCACAUUGGAACUGAGACACGGUCCAAACUCCUACGGGAGGCAGCAGUGAGGAAUAUUGGUCAAUGGACGAGAGUCUGAACCAGCCAAGUAGCGUGCAGGAUGACGGCCCUAUGGGUUGUAAACUGCUUUUAUAAGGGAAUAAAGUGGGAGUCGUGACUCUUUUUGCAUGUACCUUAUGAAUAAGGACCGGCUAAUUCCGUG